GGGCCCGUAGCUCAAGGGCAGAGCGGCCGGCUCAUAACCGGUUGGUUGGGGGUUCGAAUCCCUCCGGGCCCACCA
RNAcentral lists this transfer RNA (75 nucleotides) under Pseudomonadota bacterium. Its description in RNAcentral is "tRNA-Ile". It matches the Rfam family "tRNA". From Rfam's summary of the family: Transfer RNA (tRNA) molecules are approximately 80 nucleotides in length. Lineage: Bacteria; Pseudomonadati; Pseudomonadota. RNAcentral also lists the same sequence under 3 other names. The record is from RNAcentral.